This 1284-nucleotide ribosomal RNA is filed under the name Triticum aestivum (bread wheat). RNAcentral describes it as "partial small subunit ribosomal RNA". The record is from RNAcentral. Lineage: Eukaryota; Viridiplantae; Streptophyta; Magnoliopsida; Poales; Poaceae.
AUGCCGGCGCUGCGAGACCGCCGAAGUAGUUGCCAUGGUGGGUUAUGCAUCAACGCUGCGCUGCGUGGAUUGAUGGGUGUGGAGGAUGUAAGACAGAGGAGAAAGACGAUGGGGGCUGCGAUUGCUGGGCCAUAUUUGACUCGCGUGAUGCUUGGGAACCCACCACAGAGCUUUGACGUUCUCAUCGACACGGGAAGUAGCCUACCGUGGAUUGGUUGUGACACAGCGCGACUUCCUACACGAGUUUUUUACCCUUCACCGUCAACAUCGGUACUCGGUUGCUCAGAUCAGCGGUGCCAGAGUCUGGAGAAUGCGAGGAAUGCACAGUGCAACACCUCCAAUAAUAGGUGCGCUUAUGAUCUCGGGUAUGGCAAUGGGGAUGGUGCCACAGCUUCGAGCGCCGUCGGCUAUUAUAUAUCUGAUUUAGUGCACCUGAACGGCCCUUCUACUCCUGCACGCAUUGUCUUCGGGUGUACUACUUCGUGGUCUGGGCAACUGACACGUGGUGUAUUCGACGGAAUUUUUGGCUUGUCGCCUUUUGGGAUGUCGUUUAUUUCACAGCUAUACUCCCUUGGACUCUCUGGCAACGUAUUCACUCUCUGCAUGCAUAGUCCAACUGGUGGCGGAAUUCUUGCCUUUGGUGAAGCCCUCGAGCCUGGCUUGACCUACACACCCCUUUUGCCAUCGCCGCAAUAUUACCAAGUGAAUCUACAGAGCAUAGCUGUAAAUGGGCAGACACUCCCCAUUGACAGCUCCGUGUUUGGACCCUCACCCAGUAAUUUUACCUUCGUAGAUUCGGGAACAACGCUCGCAUUUCUCGCAGAUGGAGCAUAUGAUCCGUUUAUUAACGCUAUAAGGGCUGCAACCCCUCCGUCUGCACUUCCGUUCACCAGGGAAAAUGGCGAAAUUUGUUUUUCCACUUCCACCAGUAUUGACUCUGCUUUCCCGUCCGUGGAACUAGACUUUGUGGGCGGUGCCAAAAUGUUUCUGUAUCCUCACAACUACAUGUAUUAUGUUAAGCCUUCAGUGUAUUGCAUUGGCUGGCUUAGGAACACGGGGAGACAAGUCACUUUACUUGGAGAUAUCGUGCUCGUAGACAAGAUUCUUGUCCAUGAUUUGGAGAAGAAGCGCCUGGGCUGGAUGAACUAUGAUUGUUCUCAGCCUAUCAAUGUCACUACUGCGCGUGGGAAGAAAUACACUAACUCUGGGCAGUCGUUGCACAGUAUCACGACAACUUUUACAGUUGUGCUCGUAGUUGUCAUAUAUAUCACUCUGCUCACCUAG